Pelodiscus sinensis (Chinese soft-shelled turtle) is the source of this 3569-nucleotide non-coding RNA. The record is from RefSeq and is a predicted model, not a curated record. NCBI's taxonomy places the organism in Eukaryota, Metazoa, Chordata, Testudines, Trionychidae.
AUGGCGGGCCCCGAUGGGCGGCAACAAAGAGCGCCCGACCUCCGGCGCUGAGAGUUUUCUCUCCUCGAAUCAUAGAACCUGAAAGAGACCUGAGGCGCAGUGAUCCUACGUCAUCAACCUGCGCCUUGAGAGCGGAGCGCAGCGCAGCCUGGUGAUGUGCAUCUGUGGGGACACCAAUGGAAAUUAGACUAAACCUGCAGUAAUGGGAAGAAGCUAUUUUGUGGAAGAACCUGUUGGACAGUAUCUUUCAGACUUCAGCACCAAGCCAAAGACUUGUGUCACAGGCUUGUUGAUAGGACAGUGUUCCCUACAAAGAGAUUAUGUGAUUCUGGCUAUUAGAACACCUCCAAGAGAAGAGCAGAAUGAAAGCAACAAAAAUCAUCAUCCACAAUUGGCUGACAUUGAUGAAGAAUGGGUAACAGCACAUGCUAGUCAGUUGUCCAGAAUGCUCCCAGGAGGACUGCUAGUUCUUGGUGUAUUUAUUAUUGCAGCUCCAGAAGUGGCAAAAGAUGUCCAAAAUGCUUUGCGCAAGCUAGUUUUUUCAAUAGAAAAGUCUGUAGCUAAAAAGAGGCUCUGGAAUUUUGCUGAUGAGGAGAUCUCUGACAGAGUGGCUCUUCACGUUUGUUCUGCUACAAAGAAGAUAAUUUGUCGAACUUAUGAUAUAAAAGAUCCAAAGAGUUCAGCUAGGCCAGCAGACUGGAAGUACCAAAGUGGCCUAUCUACCUUCUGGCUAUCUUUGGAGUGCACAGUUAAUGUUAAUAUUCACAUCCCACUUUCUGCUACAACAAUCAACUAUGAACUAGAGAAAAAUACAAGGAACGGAUUAACCCGGUGGGCAAAACAGAUAGAAGAAGGUAUUUUUCUCAUCAAUGGGCAAGUUAAAGAAGAUGAUGCAGAGCUAUUGGAAGGUCAGAAAAAGUCUUCAAGAGGAAACAUUCAACCCUUUGAUGUGAAGGUUCUGACGCAGUUGUCCCAGAGCUCAGGCCAUAGAUCAACAGCAAUGGUGCAAGUCUGCAGUGGUUCCAUAAAUCUUAAAGGUGCAGUGAAGUGCAGAGCUUACAUCCAUAAUAACAAGCCAAAAGUUAAGGAUGCUAUUCAGGCUUUGAAGAGGGAUAUAAUAAACACACUCUGUGAUCGUUGUGAAAUAUUGUUUGAAGAUCUGCUUAUAAAUGAGGCAUCUGACAAAAAAGGUUCUGAGAGAGAGUAUCAUGCUCUGCCUCACAGAGUGUUUGCCCCCAUUGCUGGAUCAAAUGUGAUGCUGUGUGACUAUAAAUUUGGAGAUGAAACGGCUGGGGAAAUCCAAGAGCGUUUUUUUGAGAUGUUGGAUCAAGUUGUGCAUGGGGAAGCAAUACAUAUAGUUGAGGAAAUGAACACAGUUGAUAUAAAUCCACCUGUCGACAGCACAGAUGACAUGGAACAGAUACAGUUAACAAAAGCCACAUUUCUAUUGAAACUUCAACAAAACAUGGGUGUGGUAAUAGCUGCCGCAGUUGCAGUCUUUGCAGUAACCUUCUCCUUUAAUUACUUCAGUGACUAGACUCCAAGCAAAAGAAGGCAUCUAAUCAUCAUGGGAACAUUGACAAGUAUUUACAUUAAUGCAAGGUGGGAGCCUCAAAGAUUUAAUAUGUUAGCAACUAAACGUUGUCUAAAACACAAUCAUUGGGUGUGUUCUAAAUUGUAGAGAUCUAUCCAGCUGUCUUGUUCCAUCAUGUAAAUACUGUAGAUGGAUCAGGUUCCUGGAAACUAAAGGAAGAUAUAUUUGGUGGAAAUUACCUGUAAAAUAGCAUUUUCCAGGAAGAAUUGUUUAGCAAAAAAGUAGAAUGCCCCUUUCCCUAUGCUAGUUGAUUAUAGUUUCAUUGUUAAAAACUUAUAAAUGUAUUUUUAAGAGACAUUUUCAAGGUUAUUGGAACUUAACAUUUGCCCUUUUUUAAUUACCCACUAUGACAGGUCUUGUCUUUAACAUGGAUAUUGACUAUUUUUUUUUUAAAAAGACAACGAUUGAAAAGUUGGUCCCAUUGUAGUCAAUGGCAAAAUCCUGAUUUCCAUGGCAUCAGAAUUUCACUCCACACAUUCUUUUUGUUAAAGCAUGUGUGUCAGGUUAACUCAUAUAGUUCGCAGCAGCCCUAAAAUCCCAAUUUAGACCAACAUACACUAUGUAAAUAUCUUGGCUAAAGCUUUGAAUCAUAAAUUAAUGAAAUAAUUAAACCUCUAAGAUGAAUGGUGAAUUUAUAUUUGCUUCGUUUUUCAUCUUGAUCUGAUUUAUCCAUCUAAUCCUGACUGACUCAAUUGCUAUAUUUCCUUUAAGAAUGCUUUAUCGGAUAAUUCCCCAGAUAUUCAUAUCCCAAAUAUGCAGAUUGGAAUGACAAAUAAUUAAAAAAUGUUGGAUAUGAAUUAAAUAAGUCAGUUUAUGCUGUCUUUUAAACUAUAUAUUAUGGGCAAAAUUAUUGCUUUACCCUAAAGGAAAAAUGUUUGAAAUAAAGUUAACAAAUGUCACCUUUAUUUAAAAGUUGUUGACAUCUGUAUAGUUCUGAGUUGCUAUAUAAAUUGAUAUAUACCAGCCCGAAGAGUAUUUAACCUUUUGUACUGCAGCUUAAUGAGUUUAGAUGCAAAGGUACUGGAACUUGCAGGAAAGCUUUGAGCCUAUGGCAUAAUCAAGCAGAAAGUAUUAGAAAACUGAAUAAAAGAUAACUUGCAAAUGGAAUAACAUUUACAUACAUAGCCUAUUCAUCUGAUUUUUACAUGCUCCAAACAAUUAACAUACAAAAAAUUCGAUUGUUUGUUCAGAAAUUUACAAUUACUGCUGACUUGCUAAGAGUCAAGACAAGUUAGACUGACUCUUAGUGCAAAUGGGGAAUUCCCUUCAUUAAGCAUUAGUAACACAUCAGAUUUGAAAUUAUAGGAAUUCUUUUGGCCAGAGGUUAAAUUUCUGAGAGGGAGCAUGGUCGAGGCUUGUAUUGGGCAGUGGUGGUAAUCCAAUCCCUUUCCUUCUCACCGCUUUGUUUGAGGGGAGCAACUUGAGGGAACAAGGAAACAAAGCUCCUGAUAGCAGGGUGUAGGGAUGUCCUCCUGCUGCAAAUUUAUUUUACAGGUACAUGCUAUUUGACAGAAAUUUGGUAGAUUUUUUGGUAGAAGGAACUUAUUCCCUUUUAUUUGAAAAGGGAGGAGUGGCUGCCAGAGCAUUCUCCAGAAGGGGCUCUUGACGUUGGCAUUUGAUUUCUCCCUACUAGAAAUAAAUCUCUUGGUCAGCUAGUGCUCAGGGGUGUUAAUGAAAAGCAGGAUAUGUAUACUUUUGGGAAAAGUCAUGUUACAAAGAUUAAUUCUUUUAAAAUAGUCAUUUGUGAAACAUGUUAAUUGUUGACUGGCUGCUGCUGUUAUCGUGCGUAUGUAUAAAUGAGGUGGCUCUGUACCCGUCAUAACUACCCAUUUGCAUGCUUUGUAUGUUAUUCUCAUCUAUGUUUGUUAGCAUUUUGCCUACUCGGAUGGUGAACUCUGAGGCUGGUAAACUGUUAUUUAUGUGAACUGCCAAAUAGAGCUUUAGUGAUUUGAUUAAUAAAAGCUGCUCACAAAUA